This 446-nucleotide ribosomal RNA is filed under the name uncultured soil bacterium. RNAcentral describes it as "bacterial SSU rRNA". It matches the Rfam family "Bacterial small subunit ribosomal RNA", at positions 26 to 518 of the family's 1533-position model. The record is from RNAcentral.
AGAGCGAACGCUGGCGGCAGGCUUAACGCAUGCAAGUCGAGCGCCCGUAGCAAUACGGGAGCGGCAGACGGGUGAGUAACACGUGGGAACGUGCCUUUUGGUUCGGAACAACACAGGGAAACUUGUGCUAAUACCGGAUAAGCCCUUACGGGGAAAGAUUUAUCGCCAAAAGAUCGGCCCGCGUCUGAUUAGCUAGUUGGUGGGGUAAUGGCCCACCAAGGCGACGAUCAGUAGCUGGUCUGAGAGGAUGAUCAGCCACAUUGGGACUGAGACACGGCCCAAACUCCUACGGGAGGCAGCAGUGGGGAAUAUUGGACAAUGGGCGCAAGCCUGAUCCAGCCAUGCCGCGUGAGUGAUGAAGGCCCUAGGGUUGUAAAGCUCUUUCGACGGGGAAGAUAAUGACGGUACCCGUAGAAGAAGCCCGGCUAACUCGUGCCAGCAGCCGC